Molecule: ribosomal RNA, 231 nt
Filed under: uncultured bacterium
Lineage: Bacteria
Description: partial 16S ribosomal RNA
Rfam family: Bacterial small subunit ribosomal RNA
Source: RNAcentral
CGAACGGGUGAGUAACACGUAGGUGACCUGCCCCGAAGUGGGGGAUAACUGCUGGAAACGGUAGCUAAUACCCCAUGUGGUCCGUCAUUCGGUUGGCGGAUUAAAGCUCCGGCGCUUCGGGAUGGGCCUGCGGCCGAUUAGCUUGUUGGUAGGGUAAUGGCCUACCAAGGCGAUGAUCGGUAGCUGGUCUGAGAGGAUGGUCAGCCACACUGGCACUGAGAUACGGGCCAG